GGUCUCUAUCAGUUAGAAAUAAUUUGCCAUUUAUCAAUCUACAACUUAACCCAGCUUGGGACUUUAUCAAUAGUAAACGAGUAGAAGAGUAAACAGUAAACUUCACAAAGUGAAGUUACACGCCCUAGAGCAGGAUUGGCAGUUGAGAGCUGGAGCCCCAGCCUGCUCUGUUCAGCACAGGAACACAGCACUUCGAUUCAUCUGUGCAUCAUCUGUGGCUGCUUGUGUGCUACUGCGACAGAGAUCUACUUCUUUAUUAUCUUUUUGGAGAACAGGAAUCUUUGUCUGGAAAUUCCACACGUUUGCCUUCUGCAAGAUUAAAAGUGCCACAAAGAACAAAAAUGAGCCUAGGACCAGGUGCACACUAGAAGCCAUUAGACAUGUUAAAGUUUCAUCUCCAUUGACCUGGUAAGCCUGAUAGUAUAAAUGCACUUUUACCUCUUUAAAUAUUAUCAGUGGUAGAAAGUACAUGGCAGGUUUAGGGGAGCCAGGUGGAAUGUGGUUUUGAGCCUUGUGACCUGCGUGUUAGUUAAUGAGUGCUUAGACUGAACCUUUGCAUUUAAUGCUCAGGACAAAUAGCUGAUGAGGGGAGGGGCCGGAACUACAGGAGCAACUCCCUUUGAUCACUUGCCAGUAGAGCAAGGCCUUGGUAAUAACUGCAAGUUAAUAGGCUGAUGUGGCCAUGGCAAAGCCCUGGUGCAAUCCUUGCUAUUGGGGGCAGGAGACAGGAACCCACGUGGGGCAUGGUACUGACAGGGACCCACAUGGGGAAUGGUAAUGACAGGGACGCACGUGGGGAAUGGUAACAUAACAAGUGGUGGAGGACUUUCCACCUUACAUAUAGUCAUCCCUGGCUAUUAAGGUAGAUACUAUCUUCAUCAUCUUUAUUUUACAGAUCUAGAAAUGGAGUCACUGGUAGGUAAAGUAAUUUGCCUGAGGUGAUGCAACCACAGUGACAGAGCUGGCAUUUGAACAGAGCCUGGCUGUAGCCUCCAUUUAAUAAACUGCACACCAAAUAUUUCUCCCAGGGAAGGAAGCCACAGUGUGCUGCUUUUUUGGGCUUCCUCUGCAACCUACUCUGGCAUACAGGUCCUGCUCUCUUAUUAGUCUUAGACUGCUUUCUUAUGGAUGAAAUGGGAAUGCUGACGCCUGCUUUAAAUUGUUAGUGGGAUUGAAUGUCUGCAAAGAGUUGCUGCUCAGUCAAAGAGAAAAAGUAAAACA
RNAcentral lists this long non-coding RNA (1221 nucleotides) under Callithrix jacchus (white-tufted-ear marmoset). RNAcentral describes it as "lncRNA (ENSCJAG00000078359.1)". Lineage: Eukaryota; Metazoa; Chordata; Mammalia; Primates; Cebidae. The record is from RNAcentral.